This 726-nucleotide ribosomal RNA is filed under the name Pseudomonas putida. Its description in RNAcentral is "bacterial SSU rRNA". It matches the Rfam family "Bacterial small subunit ribosomal RNA", at positions 68 to 789 of the family's 1533-position model. Lineage: Bacteria; Pseudomonadati; Pseudomonadota; Gammaproteobacteria; Pseudomonadales; Pseudomonadaceae. The record is from RNAcentral.
GGAUGACGGGAGCUUGCUCCUUGAUUCAGCGGCGGACGGGUGAGUAAUGCCUAGGAAUCUGCCUGGUAGUGGGGGACAACGUUUCGAAAGGAACGCUAAUACCGCAUACGUCCUACGGGAGAAAGCAGGGGACCUUCGGGCCUUGCGCUAUCAGAUGAGCCUAGGUCGGAUUAGCUAGUUGGUGGGGUAAUGGCUCACCAAGGCGACGAUCCGUAACUGGUCUGAGAGGAUGAUCAGUCACACUGGAACUGAGACACGGUCCAGACUCCUACGGGAGGCAGCAGUGGGGAAUAUUGGACAAUGGGCGAAAGCCUGAUCCAGCCAUGCCGCGUGUGUGAAGAAGGUCUUCGGAUUGUAAAGCACUUUAAGUUGGGAGGAAGGGCAGUAAGCUAAUACCUUGCUGUUUUGACGUUACCGACAGAAUAAGCACCGGCUAACUCUGUGCCAGCAGCCGCGGUAAUACAGAGGGUGCAAGCGUUAAUCGGAAUUACUGGGCGUAAAGCGCGCGUAGGUGGUUUGUUAAGUUGGAUGUGAAAGCCCCGGGCUCAACCUGGGAACUGCAUCCAAAACUGGCAAGCUAGAGUACGGUAGAGGGUGGUGGAAUUUCCUGUGUAGCGGUGAAAUGCGUAGAUAUAGGAAGGAACACCAGUGGCGAAGGCGACCACCUGGACUGAUACUGACACUGAGGUGCGAAAGCGUGGGGAGAAAACAAGAUUAGGUACCCUG